Molecule: ribosomal RNA, 253 nt
Filed under: uncultured bacterium
Lineage: Bacteria
Description: partial 16S ribosomal RNA
Rfam family: Bacterial small subunit ribosomal RNA
Source: RNAcentral
UACGUAGGGGGCAAGCGUUGUCCGGAAUCAUUGGGCGUAAAGCGCGUGUAGGCGGUUCGGUAAGUCCGCUGUGAAAGUCGGGGGCUCAACCCUCGGAUGCCGGUGGAUACUGUCGAGCUUGAGUACGGAAGAGGCGAGUGGAAUUCCUGGUGUAGCGGUGAAAUGCGUAGAUAUCUGGAGGAACACCGGUGGCGAAGGCGGCAUCCUGGACCGGUAUUGACGCUGAGGAGCGAAAGCCAGGGGAGCAAACGGG